ACUUUCUCCAUAUUCACCUAACUCCCAUUCCAGCUUUCUCCAUAUUUACUACUCCCUCGUCUGCCCAUAUUAUCGAAGCAUUGCUUUCUUUCGCCACUCCCAAAAAUGAAACCCUAGCUUUCGCCCCCUCUCCCCUCUUAUCUCUGGACACCAAAAUUUCAAAAUCCGACGAAAUACUGACAGCGAAAAAGGCGACAUAUUCGUACGGUGGUGGAGGAGCCGGAGUGAAGUUCCAGUCGGCGACCCAGCGGCGCGACGGCGCCCCUCCCAGUCCCCGUCUCCGUUUUCCGCCGUACCCUCUCACUCCUUCCGCGCGCCUCCCACAGCCGACGGCGCGACGCCUCCGAGCUCCAGGCCUCCACCGGACCACCGCAUAGCACUGCAGGCCUCCACCGCGCCGCCUCCGAGCUCCAGCAUGUAUGCUUCUUCAGAUCUUCUUCUUCUUCUUUUUUCUUUUUUCUUUUUUUUUUACAGAGUUCUUUAAAUAUUCUUGGUUAAUACUCUUUUGGCUGCUCAAAAUUCCCUCACUUUCCUUCUCAUGCUGGUUAUUAGUAUAUUACUUUCCUUCAAGUUGAUUUCGCUUGAUUUUAGCUCAAGAUUUUGAUGUGGUUUUGACCUUUUAAUCUUUUAUUAACUGAUUUUCUGCUUAUAGUCUUGGUUACUUGGUUUUGAGACCAGAGCAUGAUAUACAUUUUGGUUUUGAGUACUUAGUUUUCGAAUUUUUUUUUAAGAAAAUCUGCAAUUUAGGGUACCUGAAUACCCGAAUCGGGUAUUAGGGUACCCAAUUUUUUAAUCGGGUUUAGGGUCGGGUAUAGAGUUUUAGGCUUAUUUGGGAUCGGGUACCCGAUUUUUUCGGAUCCGACUUGAUUUCCAGCCGUAGUUUUUUCGUUUUUGAGUUAUUUAUUUAAAUUUUGUGUUUAUGGUAUUAUUUUGUUAGAUUUAUGGAUAUCUACACAAAAGGGUUCUAAAAAUAACGGCUUUUUCUUUUUGCAGAUUAGUACGAAUCUGCUAUAAAAAAUUAGCAAUCAACUACUCUUUUGUAGACUUGCUUCACUCGAUCGAUAUUUGGUGAUAUGUGUUUUAUUUUGCUUUCUGGCAUUUUGGAGCUAAUUUGAGUUAAUUUGCAGAUUCCCUGCUACCAUCUCUCACGUCACACUAUUUUCACAAUUAUGAUGAGUUUGGCUUUAGAUGUAAAGCAUUAAAUAAAAUGAAGAAAGCAUCCACCUAAAUAUACAUAAUGAACGCUUUAAUGCUCUUCAGAUAAAUAAAUGAAAAACUAAUGGAAAUGAAAGAUAUCC
Molecule: long non-coding RNA, 1298 nt
Filed under: Salvia miltiorrhiza (redroot sage)
Lineage: Eukaryota; Viridiplantae; Streptophyta; Magnoliopsida; Lamiales; Lamiaceae
Description: long non-coding RNA (SMIL_LNC008414)
Source: RNAcentral